CUUGAAUAUUCCUCACGCUGUUGGACGUCGUAUCUUAGUGAAUUCACCUAUCUCAAUAACCAAAUGUUGUGAUACUGAACAUUGUAACAAAAAUCUGUUGUGUCCUGGCGGGAUUUGUGGCAGUACAAACAGUCUUACCAGUACAACCAGUCUUACCAGUACAACCAGUUUUCCAACACAACCAGCUUGUCUAGAUAAUGAUAUACCAAUCUGUAAAUCUCCAGAAUCAUUAUCUCUUGCGUGUAAAGAACCUACAAUUAGAACAUACUGCAAAAAAUCAUGUGGAUUAUGUCCGGUGUGUAAAGAUCACGUGAGUGACUGUCAGGACCAAUCAUUUCUGUCGGUUGUUUGUGGUAGACCGGAAGCUCAGUUUUUCUGUAAAAAGUCAUGUAACAAGUGCUGAUUAAAGUUGAUUAAAAAAUGGAGUGUUUUAUUGAUGAACAAAAACCAGGAUAGUUUUUGACUAAAAAUAGUUUUUACUUAUUCCAAACCAAACCAUUUUGUCAUUACAUUCACAUAAAGUUAGCGUUUGAAACAAUAUAUCG
Molecule: long non-coding RNA, 545 nt
Organism: Mytilus californianus (California mussel)
Lineage: Eukaryota; Metazoa; Mollusca; Bivalvia; Mytilida; Mytilidae
Exons: 5
Source: RefSeq, a predicted model, not a curated record